RNAcentral lists this ribosomal RNA (253 nucleotides) under uncultured bacterium. Its description in RNAcentral is "partial 16S ribosomal RNA". It matches the Rfam family "Bacterial small subunit ribosomal RNA", at positions 524 to 776 of the family's 1533-position model. The record is from RNAcentral.
UACGAGGGGGGCAAGCGUUGUUCGGAAUUAUUGGGCGUAAAGGGCGCGUAGGCGGUGCGGUAAGUCACCUGUGAAAACUCUGGGCUCAACUCAGAGCCUGCAGGCGAAACUGCCGUGCUUGAGUGUGGGAGAGGUGAGUGGAAUUCCCGGUGUAGCGGUGAAAUGCGUAGAUAUCAGGAGGAAUACCGGUGGUGUAGACGGCUCUCUGGACCGCCACUGACGCUGAGACACGAAAGCGUGGGUAGCAAACAGG